AUACUUACCUGGCAGGGGAGAUACCAUGAUCACGAAGGUGAUUUUCCCGGCGUGAGGCUCAUCCCAUUGCACUGCGGGUGUGCUGACUCCUGCAAUUUCCCCAAAGGCAGGAAACUUGACUGCAUAAUUUGUUAAACUCCCUUCUUAACUUUCAUGCCUUGCAAGGUG
This 168-nucleotide small nuclear RNA is filed under the name Chelydra serpentina (North American snapping turtle). Its description in RNAcentral is "U1 spliceosomal RNA (ENSCSRG00000019280.1)". The stretch from base 1 to 137 matches the Rfam family "U1 spliceosomal RNA". Rfam says of the family: U1 is a small nuclear RNA (snRNA) component of the spliceosome (involved in pre-mRNA splicing). Its 5' end forms complementary base pairs with the 5' splice junction, thus defining the 5' donor site of an intron. There are significant differences in sequence and secondary structure between metazoan and yeast U1 snRNAs, the latter being much longer (568 nucleotides as compared to 164 nucleotides in human). The record is from RNAcentral. Lineage: Eukaryota; Metazoa; Chordata; Testudines; Chelydridae.